This 2521-nucleotide long non-coding RNA is filed under the name Actinidia chinensis (golden kiwifruit). RNAcentral describes it as "long non-coding RNA (ACHI_LNC006181)". Lineage: Eukaryota; Viridiplantae; Streptophyta; Magnoliopsida; Ericales; Actinidiaceae. The record is from RNAcentral.
UUGUGCACAGCAACCAUAAUAGUAAUGUUUCAUUUAUUGCUUUCAUUAUAUUCUGCUCCAACAUAACUAUUGGAAGAUGGAUCCUUUUGUUAACCCUUUUUGUGGAGGUUAAUCUGCCAGGUUGCCCAUAUUGCUUGGACUCUCGUCUGCCGAAAAGUUUUCUGACAGCACAAAGAUUAACAGUUCCGAACUUGUGCACAGCAUGUUCGAAAAACAAUCCCAGAGGAGAAUUUGAUGUUCUUGCCACACGUUCCUUCAUUUUCUACCAACCUGUAAGAGUAUUUAAACAACACUUUCUUCUUACAAAAGACAACAAGAAAUAUAGUCAGUUGAAUAACAACAUUAAAAUUGAUAAUUGCAAAACAGUAAGAAUUGUGUCAUACUGAACAUCUUUCCAUUCUUCUCUUGUAUCUUUUAUUUUGAAGUUAUGUUUGACAAAAAGAGUCAUCAACGGCAUUCUGCACAUACGAAUCUGCAGAAUAGAUUGUUUCUGCUAACAAAACGCGCUGUGAACAAGACAAGGGCAAUAAUAACAUAGAAAGACAACAUUUGUAGAAGUAUGUACUCAAAACCCAACUUGGAUUUCAUAAAGCAAUUCAAACAUAUACAUGCCUCUUUCUUUCCCCUAAUUACUGAGUAAUCACAAUUUGCAUGACUUGUUUAAGAAUCAUGCUAUAACCUAGGCUAUACUCAACAUCCACCGUAAAUUACUAACAUUCUCUAUGUAGAUCAAACAUAUGACAAAAUUGAACUAAAUAUACUGGUUAAUGGAUAUAAUACUUGCACUAUUUCACUGACAACUAAAUACCCCACGUUCAAUAACAGACCCUGCUAGCAAAUAUCCUGCAAUAACUUGCAAAAAGGUCAAAAGAAAAUAUAACAGACUCCUUUAGGUUUAACAGCAAUCAUCAAGGUUAAUUAAAGAAUCCAGAUCUAAAAGUAAUAUAAAAUAAAUCUAAAAAUUGUAUUAUUGACACAACCCUCCCCCACCAAAACAAAUAAAGGGGAAAAGAGAAUUAAAGAGGCACAUUCAUUCUGCAAACUAUAUUUCAUCAUCAACACAACAUAAGCAAGAAUGAGGGGUCAACCAGUUGUCCAUCACAAACAAAGGCAAUGCCACCACAUGUUGCAGGAGCCAAUGACAACUAAAAGAUCUAAUAUCAACUUACCAAUAGUUUUUUGAACAUUUCAGAGAUCAACUAAAAAGUAAUUGAUAAGGCAAAUGGGAGGAGGGGGAGACAAAAAGAGUAAGCUUAACCUUAAGACCAACUGUAGUGCAGGUCCUGCAGGAUACUUUGAAUUGGGAUUUGAUAUGAUAAAGACGCUAUCCUAAAGGAAAAGGAAAAAUCCAACGAUUGGAUUAGUAGUUGAACAACUUGGAACUUGACCAAUUUAACACACAAGUUGUCUAGUUAUAACAAUAGCGCAUUUACAUCAUGGUACUGGAAAUAGAUAUUAAUGUUAUAUAAGAUAUGUAUACCUUUCCGUCUUUCUAUGUUGGCUUAUCUUCCCAAGGAAGAGGAUGAUGAGAUAAGGAAUCUCAUCCAACAUAAUUAUGGCCAUGCAUUGAUUACUUAGUUGCUUGCUACCAGCCAUGAAACAGAAUUUUGAUAUUUCCAUUUUUUUGCCCUAAUCUAGUAUUCUUUCUGUUUGUUUGGCCUGUUACAAACAAAUCUCCUUAAGUAAUGAUCUGCAGUGAAUUAUUUAUGAAUAUUAGUUUGUAAAUAAAAGGUUACUCCUUCACCAGCUUUUAGGAUAUCCUUACUAUCAAUCAAGUCUUUAUCCUCUAGAGUCGGUGCUUGUUUCUGGGUUGAUUUACUUUACAAAACAACGAAGAGAUUUUUGACACUAUCUUCAUUCUCUAUGCACGUGAAACCGAUGAAGGAUGUGUUAGCUAUCAGGUUAUGAUUGAAAGAAGAUGAUAUUGAUUUUACAAAGUAAACCAUGAUCGGAGUGCAUGAUCAACACGAGAACUGUUAUUCAAGGUAAAUGUGACAUUUGGCUUAUCUAAUAAUAGUAUCUAAUAAAGACUUAUUAUUACCAUUGUUAAUCUCUAAAAGAAUCGGGAAAGAAGCAUUCCUUGCUAACAGUUGUGCUCCUUCAUUUCUGAUGAAAUGGUCCCCAAAAAAGUCACUAGAACUCGUUUUGACUAAGCAAAAUGAUACAUUGUGAAUCCAGAUUAAAAUGAUUUAUUGGGCAUCUACAUUUCCAUCGUGUCUUCAUUCUCUGCACAAGUAAUACUAAAUUGCAUUUGAAAGAAUAAGAGGAGAAUUCUUUCUCUUGAUUGAUCAAAAUGAUUUCCUGAGUAUCUACAUUUCCAUAGUGUGAAUCAUGUAUCUUCGGUGGUUUGAUUGCAACCCACUGCUCCAGGAAUAUAGAUGGAUCAUGCCUUGCAUGCAUAUUUUUUUCUAGAAAUCAGUGUGAAUAUAAGCACACAAACAAAAUAAUGUUAGGAAGAGAAAACACUGAAGAAAAAAUAAAUGACCUUAAAGAUUUGAAGGAAAACAGGCCAACGCUUUCA